This is a non-coding RNA of Acanthosepion pharaonis, 108 nucleotides long. NCBI's taxonomy places the organism in Eukaryota, Metazoa, Mollusca, Cephalopoda, Sepiida, Sepiidae. The record is from the annotation of a GenBank genome assembly.
GCGAUAUCUUGUUAAAAAGCCGCUUCUCGUAUGAUCAUCGAAGUUAAGCAACGUCGUACUUGGCCAGUACCUAUAUGGGAGACCGCGUGGGAAUGUCUGGUGCUGUCU